Molecule: long non-coding RNA, 294 nt
Filed under: Rosa chinensis
Lineage: Eukaryota; Viridiplantae; Streptophyta; Magnoliopsida; Rosales; Rosaceae
Description: sRNA RchiOBHm_Chr6g0257141
Source: RNAcentral
GUCCUUAUCGUCUCCGGCGAGACAGUAUGUCAGCUUCUCUAAGCUCCUCUGUUUCUGGCACCGUAUCAAGCAAUUCUCCAAGAAUCGGAGGAAUCUUUGGAACUUGGCAGGGUCGUCGGAAUCGGAGGGGUCGCCCUCGUCGAAACAGCGCCGCCCACUGCUUCGAAACGGCGGUUGCCUAAGCGGCGAGUUUGAAGGGAAGGAAGAGAGGAUUUGUUCGAUGACGCUGUCGGGUAAGUAAGGAAUUGUGGCGGCGGAGGUGGUGGCGAUCGGGGGGGCUCCGAUCGUGGUCGG